GGGCCGCUAGCUCAACUGGCAGAGCAGAGGGCUUUUAACCCUAAGGUUGCAGGUUCGAGUCCUGCGCGGCUCA
Molecule: transfer RNA, 73 nt
Filed under: Chloroflexota bacterium
Lineage: Bacteria; Bacillati; Chloroflexota
Description: Chloroflexi bacterium (marine metagenome) tRNA-Lys
Rfam family: tRNA
About the family: Transfer RNA (tRNA) molecules are approximately 80 nucleotides in length.
Source: RNAcentral